AAAGGAAUUGACGGGGACCCGCACAAGCAGUGGAGUAUGUGGUUUAAUUCGAAGCAACGCGAAGAACCUUACCAGGGCUUGACAUCCAACGACAACCCUAGAGAUAGGGCAUUCCCUUCGGGGACGUUGAGACAGGUGGUGCAUGGUUGUCGUCAGCUCGUGUCGUGAGAUGUUGGGUUAAGUCCCGCAACGAGCGCAACCCUUACGGUUAGUUGCUACAUUCAGUUGAGCACUCUAGCCGGACUGCCGUUGACAAAACGGAGGAAGGUGGGGACGAUGUCAAAUCAUCAUGCCCCUUAUGUCCUGGGCGACACACGUACUACAAUGGCGAUUAACAGAGGGCAGCAAUACAGUGAUGUGGAGCGAAUCCCCAAAAAUCGUCUCAGUUCAGAUUGCAGGCUGCAACCCGCCUGCAUGAAGGAGGAAUUGCUAGUAAUCGCGGAUCAGCAUGCCGCGGUGAAUACGUUCCCGGGUCUUGUACACACCGCCCGU
RNAcentral lists this ribosomal RNA (492 nucleotides) under uncultured bacterium. RNAcentral's name for it is "bacterial SSU rRNA". It matches the Rfam family "Bacterial small subunit ribosomal RNA", at positions 903 to 1397 of the family's 1533-position model. The record is from RNAcentral.